Molecule: ribosomal RNA, 498 nt
Filed under: uncultured Glomeromycotina
Lineage: Eukaryota; Fungi; Glomeromycota
Description: partial small subunit ribosomal RNA
Rfam family: Eukaryotic small subunit ribosomal RNA
Source: RNAcentral
CCAAUAGCGUAUAUUAAAGUUGCUGCAGUUAAAAAGCUCGUAGUUGAAUUUCGGGACUAAUAUGUCGGUCGUGCCUCGGUACGUACUGGUUUAUUGGUUUCUCCUUUCUGAAGAACCAUGAUGUCAUUUAUUUGGUGUCGUGGGGAAUCAGGACUGUUACUUUGAAAAAAUUAGAGUGUUUAAAGCAGGCUCACGCUUGAAUACAUUAGCAUGGAAUAAUGAAAUAAGACGUUUGAUUCUAUUUUGUUGGUUUCUAGGAUCGACGUAAUGAUUAAUAGGGAUAGUUGGGGGCAUUAGUAUUCAAUUGUCAGAGGUGAAAUUCUUGGAUUUAUUGAAGACUAACUACUGCGAAAGCAUUUGCCAAGGAUGUUUUCAUUAAUCAAGAACGAAAGUUAGGGGAUCGAAGACGAUCAGAUACCGUCGUAGUCUUAACCAUAAACUAUGCCGACUAGGGAUCGGAUGAUGUUAAUUUUUUAAUGACUCAUUCGGCGCCUUACG